This 542-nucleotide long non-coding RNA is filed under the name Salvator merianae (Argentine black and white tegu). RNAcentral's name for it is "lncRNA (ENSSMRG00000005511.1)". The record is from RNAcentral. Lineage: Eukaryota; Metazoa; Chordata; Lepidosauria; Squamata; Teiidae.
CUUAGCAGUCAGAAAAAGAUGCAUGUAGUGAUAAAAAUGUGCGGUUUCAUAGAGUCGUGUGUUUUAAUAUUAGAGUGGUGAAGCUUUCAGGUAGCAAGGAAGCUGAUUUGAUAAGGGUGAGGAUACUAGUGUCCCUAUUCUUUGUCCUAGAUGUCAAAUAUGCCUGUGUAGACAUAUUUGAGUGUAAGUUCCAGUAAAACCUUUGGCUGUACUGUCAGAUGUUUAAAGCUGCAAUUCCCAUCUAUCUGAUCUAGCCUAAGUGAUGGGAAUCAUAGAACAAACUUUCUGACUACCAGGCUGCUGAAGGUGUAGUGUAAGAGUUUGAAAAUUAUAUCAGCAUUUAUUUAGAACUAAUUUUGUGUUAAUCCAUAGAUGUAGUUCAGAAGAAUGCUGUAUGGAUAAAUUCUCAUUCAGCAGUUUUUGUAUUAAGAGUGAAGCAAACUUCUUGAGGGUUGUGAAACCAGUACUCCAUACUGGAGCAGUACGUGAUGGGACAUGAGGGGCUGCAAUAAGGUUAAGAGGUGAAUAAAUUGGGUUAAGCU